GACGAACGCUGGCGGCGUGCUUAACACAUGCAAGUCGAACGAAGAGCGAUGGAAGCUUGCUUCUAUCAAUCUUAGUGGCGAACGGGUGAGUAACGCGUAAUCAACCUGCCCUUCAGAGGGGGACAACAGUUGGAAACGACUGCUCAUACCGCAUACGAUCUAAUCUCGGCAUCGAGGAUAGAUGAAAGGUGGCCUCUACAUGUAAGCUAUCACUGAAGGAGGGGAUUGCGGCUGAUUAGCUAGUUGGAGGGGUAACGGCCCACCAAGGCGAUGAUCAGUAGCCGGUCUGAGAGGAUGAACGGCCACAUUGGGACUGAGACACGGCCCAGACGCCUACGGGAGGCAGCAGUGGGGAAUCUUCCGCAAUGGACGAAAGUCUGACGAAGCAACGCCGCGUGAGGGAUGACGGCCUUCGGGUUGUAAAGCUCUGUUAAUCGGGACGAAAGGCCUUCUUGCGAAUAGUGAGAAGGAUUGACGGUACCGGAAGAGAAAGCCACGGCUAACUACGUG
Molecule: ribosomal RNA, 510 nt
Filed under: uncultured bacterium
Lineage: Bacteria
Description: partial 16S ribosomal RNA
Rfam family: Bacterial small subunit ribosomal RNA
Source: RNAcentral